CACGUAGGCGGAUAGGUAAGUCAGAUGUGAAAUCCCGGGGCUCAACUUCGGAACUGCAUUUGAUACUGCCUGUCUUGAGUGUGGUAGAGGGGGGUGGAAUUCCCGGUGUAGAGGUGAAAUUCGUAGAUAUCGGGAGGAACACCAGAGGCGAAGGCGACCCCCUGGGCCACUACUGACGCUGAGGUGCGAAAGCGUGGGGAGCAAACA
This 207-nucleotide ribosomal RNA is filed under the name uncultured bacterium. RNAcentral's name for it is "partial 16S ribosomal RNA". It matches the Rfam family "Bacterial small subunit ribosomal RNA", at positions 568 to 774 of the family's 1533-position model. The record is from RNAcentral.